CCCCUACGGGGGGCAGCAGUGAGGAAUAUUGGUCAAUGGCCGGAAGGCUGAACCAGCCAAGUCGCGUGAGGGACGACUGCCCUAUGGGUUGUAAACCUCUUUUAUAAGGGAAGAAUAAAUGCUACGUGUAGCAUGAUGCCUGUACCUUAUGAAAAAGCAUCGGCUAACUCCGUGCCAGCAGCCGCGGUAAUACGGAGGAUGCGAGCGUUAUCCGGAUUUAUUGGGUUUAAAGGGUGCGCAGGCGGCGUGUCAAGCAAGCGGUAAAAUAGCGGGGCUCAACCCCGUCGAGCCGUUUGAACUGGCGG
Molecule: ribosomal RNA, 305 nt
Filed under: uncultured bacterium
Lineage: Bacteria
Description: bacterial SSU rRNA
Rfam family: Bacterial small subunit ribosomal RNA
Source: RNAcentral